This 712-nucleotide unclassified non-coding RNA is filed under the name Hevea brasiliensis (rubber tree). Lineage: Eukaryota; Viridiplantae; Streptophyta; Magnoliopsida; Malpighiales; Euphorbiaceae. The record is from RNAcentral.
AGCAGUCUUCGAAUCUGGAACCAUGCCAAUACGUCCAGCUUGAAUAAUCAGCAUAACAGUCAGUAACAGGUAAAUAGUGACAGCCACAACGCAUUCUACCAUCCAAUCUCCACAUAGAAACAAAAAUAUACUGUACAUAUGUCCGCCCCAUGCACUGAUGCUCAUGCCAACUGCAAUGGUGUCCAUGACCGUCGGAAACAACCUUUUCAGGCUUAAGAUUACGUAAUGUGAUUAACCGACAAUCAUUCCAAAACAGCAACCUCAUGAUCCACUCUCCAAUAAUUUGCAUCAUUGAACUCCUUGAUCCCAGCCCCAUUCUCAUCGGAAUUUUCCUUUUCUGGCACCUUAGGGACAACGCUCCUCUUCAGUGGACCUGCUUCCCCAACAAUCCCCUCCUUGAGGGCCUGCUCCAUAGCCUUUUCAGUGCCUUCUAAUUCCACACCAACGAACUCAACAUCUUCUUCAAACAAUGAGGGUACAGCUGUAGUUUUCUGACUUUGAUCACUGCCAUCUGAUCCAUCGCUCGACCCUGUUGUAGUUGGAGAGCCAUUUGGAAGAAAGGCUUCUCCUCUUGUUGGAGAAUUGACAUUAGGUGUUGCUAAUUCAACUUGAGAGGAAUCGUUGGUAUCAGAUUUAUCAUUGUCCUCAAACGGGUUCAUACUCGAACCCCCAACUUGCAAAUCUGAUGCUUCUCCCCAUCCUACCCAGUCAG